RNAcentral lists this ribosomal RNA (465 nucleotides) under uncultured bacterium. RNAcentral describes it as "partial 16S ribosomal RNA". It matches the Rfam family "Bacterial small subunit ribosomal RNA", at positions 28 to 507 of the family's 1533-position model. The record is from RNAcentral.
GACGAACGCUGGCGGCGUGCUUAACACAUGCAAGUCGAACGGAAAGGCCCCUUUGGGGGUCCUCGAGUGGCGAACGGGUGAGUAACACGUGAGUAACCUGCCCUUGACUUCGGGAUAACUUCAGGAAACUGGGGCUAAUACCGGAUAGGAAUCCUUGCUGCAUGGUGGGGGUUGGAAAGCUUCGGCGGCUUUGGAUGGACUCGCGGCUUAUCAGCUUGUUGGUGGGGUAGUGGCUUACCAAGGCUUUGACGGGUAGCCGGCCUGUGAGGGCGACCGGCCACAUUGGGACUGAGAGACGGCCCAGACGCCUACGGGAGGCAGCAGUGGGGAAUAUUGCACAAUGGGCGGAAGCCUGAUGCAGCAACGCCGCGUGCGGGAUGACGGCCUUCGGGUUGUAAACCGCUUUCAGCAGGGGCGAAGCUUGUGGUGACGGUACCUGCAGAAGAAGCACCGGCUAACUACGUG